GAUUUUGGAAGCAGAGGCAUUGUGUUAAUAUUGCUACUAACGUUCAAAAUACAGCCUAGCAUGUAAUGAUCUUUUUAUAAUUAUCUGUUCAAUCCUGGAUGAAUUAAGGGCCUACUCUAUGCAAAGUUACGGUAUGCUGAGCCGCUCGCCAGGGGAAGAAGUCCCCUUCUUGGGGAAACACUUUCACUAGAAGCUGAGACUUGCCCCCCCCCCAAGUCUUCCACCCGCCAGGGGCCGCUGUAGGAAACACUAGGCGUCCUUUCGAACGUCACUCUUUGACCCCGCGAAGCCGUUGCCCGGAGCUAAGAUGGCGGUGGCGUUGGCUGCCGCAGCCGGUAAGCUGCGGCGAGCCAUUGGGAGGUCGUGCCCAUGGCAGCCUUUCUCAACCGAGCCCGGUCCACCCCACGGAGCGGCCGUGCGGGACGCCUUCCUGAGCUUCUUCCGAGAUCGCCACGGCCACCGGCUCGUGCCCUCCGCUACCGUGAGGCCGCGCGGCGACCCCAGCCUGCUUUUCGUCAAUGCAGGCAUGAACCAGUUCAAGCCCAUCUUCCUGGGCACAGUGGAUCCACGAAGUGAGAUGGCAGGCUUCCGACGUGUAGUUAAUAGCCAGAAGUGUGUCAGGGCUGGAGGACGCCAUAACGACCUGGAGGAUGUGGGGCGUGAUCUCUCUCAUCAUACGUUUUUCGAGAUGCUUGGCAACUGGGCUUUCGGGGGUGAAUAUUUUAAGGAGGAAGCUUGUAGCAUGGCCUGGGAACUUCUGACUCAAGUCUACGGGAUCCCUGAGGACAGGUUGUGGGUCUCCUACUUCAGUGGUGACUCCCAGACAGGACUGGACCCAGACCUGGAGACCAGAGACAUCUGGCUAAGCUUGGGAGUGCCUGCCAGCCGUGUGCUCUCCUUCGGACCACAAGAGAACUUCUGGGAGAUGGGAGACACUGGGCCUUGUGGGCCUUGUACUGAGAUCCACUAUGACCUGGCUGGGGGCGUGGGAAGCCCCCAGCUGGUAGAGCUUUGGAAUCUGGUCUUCAUGCAACACUACAGAGAGGCAGAUGGAAGCCUGCAGCUGCUGCCGCAGCGACAUGUAGACACAGGAAUGGGCCUGGAAAGGCUGGUGGCCGUCCUGCAAGGCAAACGUUCCACCUACGACACCGACCUCUUCUCUCCACUGCUCGACGCCAUACACCAGAGCUGCGGGGCUCCCCCUUACUCUGGCCGGGUAGGGGCAGCAGAUGAGGGACGGAUAGACACAGCGUACCGAGUGGUAGCCGAUCACAUCCGCACACUCAGUGUCUGCAUUGCUGACGGUGUCUCCCCGGGGAUGUCAGGUGCCCCGCUAGUUCUCCGUCGGAUUCUCCGCCGAGCUGUGCGCUAUUCCACAGAGGUCUUGCAGGCACCUCCUGGCUUUCUAGGCAGCCUGGUGCCAGUGGUGGUAGAGACACUGGGAUCUGCUUAUCCAGAACUUGAGAAGAACUCAGUCAAGAUAGCCAGCCUGGUGUCAGAGGAUGAGGCAGCCUUCCUGGCCUCCCUGCAGCGGGGCCGGCGGAUCAUCGAUCGCACCGUCAAGCGCCUGGGCCCUUCUGAUUUGUUCCCUGCCGAAGUGGCCUGGUCAUUGUCGCUGUCUGGGAAUCUGGGGAUUCCCCUGGACCUGGUGGAGCUGAUGCUGGAGGAGAAGGGGGUGAAGCUGGACACGGCAGGACUGGAGCAGCUAGCCCAGAAGGAGGCUCAGCACCGGGCCCAGCAAGCAGAGGCAGAUCAGGAGGACCGAUUGUGUCUUGAUGUCCACGCACUGGAGGAGCUGCACCGUCAAGGCAUACCCACAACUGAUGACAGCCCCAAGUAUAACUACACUCUUCACCCCAACGGGGAUUAUGAGUUUGGCCUCUGUGAGGCCCGGGUGUUACAGCUGUAUUCAGAGACUGGGACAGCCGUGGCCUCCGUGGGAGCAGGCCAGCGCUGUGGCCUCCUAUUAGAUAGAACCAACUUCUACGCUGAACAAGGGGGUCAGGCUUCAGACCGAGGCUACCUUGUCCGUACAGGGCAGCAGGACAUGUUGUUCCCUGUGGCUGGGGCUCAGCUCUGUGGGGGUUUUAUCCUGCAUGAGGCCAUGGCUCCCGAGCGCCUACAGGUGGGGGAUCAAGUGCAGCUGUAUGUAGAUAAGCGUUCUAGGCCUGGCGAAUGGGAUGCAUGGUGAAGCACACGGCCACCCACCUGCUGAGCUGGGCCCUUCGGCAGACCCUCGGACCGACCACCGAGCAGCGGGGCUCCCAUCUCAACCCCGAGCGGCUGCGCUUUGACGUGGCCACCCAGACCCUACUAACCACAGAGCAGCUACGGACAGUAGAGAGCUACGUGCAGGAAGUCGUGGGGCAGGAUAAGCCUGUGUUCAUGGAGGAAGUGCCCCUGGCACACACUGCCCGCAUCCCCGGCCUUCGCUCACUGGAUGAGGUGUACCCAGACCCCGUCCGGGUGGUGUCCGUUGGGGUUCCUGUUGCCCACGCACUGGGGCCAGCCUCCCAGGCUGCAAUGCACACCUCCGUGGAGCUGUGCUGUGGGACGCACCUGCUAAGUACCGGGGCCGUGGGAGACUUGGUGAUCAUUGGGGAACGGCAGCUGGUCAAGGGCAUCACUCGCCUACUGGCCAUCACUGGGGAGCAGGCCCAACAGGCCCGAGAGGUAGGCCAGAGCCUGUCUCAGGAGGUGGAAGCAGCCAGCGAGCGACUAAGUCAGGGCAGCCGAGACCUGCCGGAAGCUCACCGGCUAUCUAAGGACAUAGGACGUCUCACCGAGGUAGCAGAGUCUGCUGUGAUACCUCAGUGGCAACGGCAGGAGCUGCAGACCACACUGAAGAUGCUACAGCGCCGUGCCAACACUGCCAUCCGGAAACUGGAGAAGGGCCAGGCUACAGAGAAAUCCCAGGAGCUGUUGAAACGACACUCGGAGGGGCCUCUGAUUGUGGACACUGUCUCUGCCGAGUCCCUCUCAGUGCUGGUAAAGGUCGUGCGGCAGCUGUGCAAACAGGCCCCUAGCAUAUCCGUGCUGCUGCUCAGCCCCCAGCCCACUGGCAGUGUCCUGUGUGCCUGCCAGGUGGCCCAGGAUGCCACGCCCACCUUCACUGCUGAAGCCUGGGCACUGGCUGUGUGCAGCCACAUGGGAGGCAAGGCGUGGGGCUCCAGAGUGGUAGCUCAGGGGACUGGACACACGGCUGACCUGGAGGCCGCCCUCGGGACAGCCCGAGCUUACGCACUCAGCCAGCUCUGACGAGGACCACCCAGGACACAGAGGAACAAGAGGCAGGCAAGCAUCUGGAGCCCUCAUGAAACCACAGAGCUUUCCUGGAGGCUGAGGCAGAGGACCAGCAGCCGGAGGCCAGGUAUCUGAGCCAAAGAAGGUCACCCGGGCCACCAGGAGACUGUAAGAAACAAAAGCCAACUGAGAGGCAGCAACCUCAACAGAUGUGAAGACCCGGGCUGCUGGAGCUGGGAGCAGCUAAUAAAAGUCUUCCACAGGACUGGAGACUUGGCUCAGUGGUUAAGAGCACUUGUUGUUCAUAGAAAGGACCCAGGUUCGGUUCCCAGCAUCCACAUGGAGGCUCCCUACCUCCUCACGCACUAGAAAUACAUGUGGUACACAAUAAUACAAUAAUUUGGUGUA
This is an RNA transcript of Mus musculus (house mouse), 3651 nucleotides long. It is a transcript of the gene named alanyl-tRNA synthetase 2, mitochondrial, with no coding region annotated. Lineage: Eukaryota; Metazoa; Chordata; Mammalia; Rodentia; Muridae. The record is from RefSeq and is marked validated. The transcript is spliced from 22 exons.